GGGCCAGUGGCGGAAUGGUAUACGCGCAACACUUAAAAUGUUGUCCGCUAUGCGGAUGAGGGUCCGACUCCCUCCUGGCCCA
Molecule: transfer RNA, 82 nt
Filed under: Candidatus Zambryskibacteria bacterium RIFCSPHIGHO2_01_FULL_43_25
Lineage: Bacteria; Candidatus Zambryskiibacteriota
Also listed under: 2 other names
Description: tRNA-Leu
Rfam family: tRNA
About the family: Transfer RNA (tRNA) molecules are approximately 80 nucleotides in length. Their secondary structure includes four short double-helical elements and three loops (D, anti-codon, and T loops).
Source: RNAcentral